RNAcentral lists this ribosomal RNA (1485 nucleotides) under bovine gut metagenome. RNAcentral's name for it is "Bacterial small subunit ribosomal RNA". It matches the Rfam family "Bacterial small subunit ribosomal RNA". The record is from RNAcentral.
AUGGAGAGUUUGAUCCUGGCUCAGGAUGAACGCUGGCGGCAGGCUUAAUACAUGCAAGUCGGACGGUAACGCGCGGGUAGCAAUACUUGUGGCGACGAGUGGCGGAUGGGUGCGUAACGCGUAUGCAACCUGCCCCUUAUUGGAGGAUAACGUUGUGAAAACGGCGAUAAUAUUCCAUGUGCACGCUGGGGGGCAUCCUCCGGUGUGUAAAGAUUCAUUGAUAAGGGAUGGGCAUGCGUAUCAUUAGGUAGUUGGCGGGGUAACGGCCCACCAAGCCGACGAUGAUUAGGGGUCCUGAGAGGGCAACCCCCCACACUGGAACUGAGACACGGUCCAGACUCCUACGGGAGGCAGCAGUAGGGAAUAUUGGGCAAUGGAGGCAACUCUGACCCAGCCAUGCCGCGUGAAGGAAGACGGCCCUAUGGGUUGUAAACUUCUUUUGUUGCAGAGUAAAGGCGGGGACGAGUCCCCGUGUGAGAGUAUGCGACGAAUAAGCAUCGGCUAACUCCGUGCCAGCAGCCGCGGUAAUACGGAGGAUGCAAGCGUUAUCCGGAUUUAUUGGGUUUAAAGGGUGCGCAGGCGGACCCGUAAGUCAUGGGUGAAAACUCGCUGCUUAACAGCGAGCGUGCCUAUGAUACUGCGGGACUAGUGUGCAAGCGGCGUGACCGGAAUGUGGCGUGUAGCGGUGAAAUGCUUAGAUAUGCCACAGAACGCCGAUCGUGAAGACAGGUCACGAGCUUGCUACAGACGCUCAUGCACGAAAGCGUGGGUAUCAAACAGGAUUAGAUACCCUGGUAGUCCACGCUGUAAACGAUGAUCACUCGUUGUUGGGGGGCGACCUUCAGCGGCCAAGGGAAACCGAUAAGUGAUCCACCUGGGGAGUACGAUCGCAAGGUUGAAACUCAAAGGAAUUGACGGGGGCCCGCACAAGCGGAGGAGCAUGUGGUUUAAUUCGAUGAUACGCGAGGAGACUGUGUCGCCUUCGGGGGUUUUGCGAGGUGCUGCAUGGUUGUCGUCAGCUCGUGCCGUGAGGUGUUAGGUUAAGUCCUGCAACGAGCGCAACCCUUACACGUAGUUGCCAGCACGCAAUGGUGGGGACUCUACGGGAACUGCCCGCGCAAGCGGUGAGGAAGGUGGGGAUGACGUCAAAUCAGCACGGCCCUUAUGUCCGGGGCUACACACGUGCUACAAUGGCGCACACAGAGGGCGGCGACCCCGCGAGGGGGAGCAAAUCCAUGAAAGUGCGUCUCAGUUCGGAUUGGGGUCUGUAACCCGACCCUAUGAAGUUGGAUUCGCUAGUAAUCGCGCAUCAGCCAUGGCGCGGUGAAUACGUUCCCGGGCCUUGUACACACCGCCCGUCAAGCCAUGGAAGCCUGUGGUACCUGAAGUCCGUGCCCGGAAGGAGCGGCCUAGGGUAAAACCGGUAACUGGGGCUAAGUCGUAACAAGGUAGCCGUACCGGAAGGUGUGGCUGGAAUACCUCCUU